Callorhinus ursinus (northern fur seal) is the source of this 286-nucleotide non-coding RNA. The record is from RefSeq and is a predicted model, not a curated record. Lineage: Eukaryota; Metazoa; Chordata; Mammalia; Carnivora; Otariidae.
GAGAUCAUGACCUGAGCUGAAACCAAGAGUUGGACUCUUAACCGACUGCGUCACCCAGGCGCCCCUGCAUCAGGGGUUCUUAACCAUCAUCCUAUGGGUAGGGUUCUGAAGAGGGGAAAGCACCAGACAUUUUUGUGUGCAAGACACUGGGUGUUUCUAGGAAGAGAGUCUAUGGCUUUCAUGAUUUUCAAAGAAGUCCCUAAUCCAAAAAAAGGUUAAAAAACUGCUCUGUAUUCUAGGACAGUCUGUUGUAGGACUUCUUUUCUAUCCCUUCUUACCGACCCCC